RNAcentral lists this ribosomal RNA (180 nucleotides) under uncultured bacterium. RNAcentral's name for it is "partial 16S ribosomal RNA". It matches the Rfam family "Bacterial small subunit ribosomal RNA", at positions 332 to 526 of the family's 1533-position model. The record is from RNAcentral.
AUUACUCCUACGGGAGGCAGCAGUGAGGAAUAUUGGUCAAUGGGCGAAAGCCUGAACCAGCAACGCCGCGUGAGGGAUGAAGGCCUUCGGGUCGUAAACCUCUUUUCUGGGAGAAGAGACAAGGACGGUAUCCCAGGAAUAAGUCUCGGCUAACUACGUGCCAGCAGCCGCGGUAAUAAU